This 301-nucleotide ribosomal RNA is filed under the name uncultured bacterium. Its description in RNAcentral is "partial 16S ribosomal RNA". It matches the Rfam family "Bacterial small subunit ribosomal RNA", at positions 509 to 807 of the family's 1533-position model. The record is from RNAcentral.
CAGUCGCCGCGGUAAUACGGAGGGUGCAAGCGUUAAUCGGAAUUACUGGGCGUAAAGCGCACGCAGGCGGUUUGUUAAGUCAGAUGUGAAAUCUCCGAGCUUAACUUGGGAACUGCAUUUGAAACUGGCAAGCUAGAGUCUUGUAGAGGGGGGUAGAAUUCCAGGUGUAGCGGUGAAAUGCGUAGAGAUCUGGAGGAAUACCGGUGGCGAAGGCUGCCCCCUGGACAAAGACUGACGCUCAGGUGCGAAAGCGUGGGGAGCAAACAGGAUUAGAUACCCCUGUAGUCCCUGUCUCUUAUAC